UACGUAGGGUGCAAGCGUUGUCCGGAAUUAUUGGGCGUAAAGAGCUCGUAGGCGGCUUGUCGCGUCGGCUGUGAAAACCUGGGGCUCAACCCCGGGCCUGCAGCCGAUACGGGCAAGCUAGAAUUCGGUAGGGGAGACUGGAAUUCCAGGUGUAGCGGUGAAAUGCGUAGAUAUCUGGAGGAACACCGGUGGCGAAGGCGGCAUCCUGGACCGACACUGACGCUGAGGAGCGAAAGCCAGGGGAGCAAACGGG
Molecule: ribosomal RNA, 253 nt
Filed under: uncultured bacterium
Lineage: Bacteria
Description: partial 16S ribosomal RNA
Rfam family: Bacterial small subunit ribosomal RNA
Source: RNAcentral